Molecule: ribosomal RNA, 473 nt
Filed under: uncultured bacterium
Lineage: Bacteria
Description: bacterial SSU rRNA
Rfam family: Bacterial small subunit ribosomal RNA
Source: RNAcentral
UGGGGAAUUUUGGACAAUGGGCGAAAGCCUGAUCCAGCCAUGCCGCGUGUGUGAAGAAGGUCUUCGGAUUGUAAAGCACUUUAAGUUGGGAGGAAGGGCAGUUACCUAAUACGUGAUUGUUUUGACGUUACCGACAGAAUAAGCACCGGCUAACUCUGUGCCAGCAGCCGCGGUAAUACAGAGGGUGCAAGCGUUAAUCGGAAUUACUGGGCGUAAAGCGCGCGUAGGUGGUUUGUUAAGUUGGAUGUGAAAUCCCCGGGCGUCAACCUGGGAACUGCAUUCAAAACUGACUGACUAGAGUAUGGUAGAGGGUGGUGGAAUUUCCUGUGUAGCGGUGAAAUGCGUAGAUAUAGGAAGGAACACCAGUGGCGAAGGCGACCACCUGGACUGAUACUGACACUGAGGUGCGAAAGCGUGGGGAGCAAACAGGAUUAGAUACCCGUGUAGUCCCUGAGCGGGCUGGCAAGGCGCAU